AGAUAACAAUAAAGAUUUAUCUUGUCGCGGCUAGAAUGGAGAUUGUACGACAAAAUCGUCCGACGGAUCGAUCAUCUCACUGAGUCGACGCUCUGGAAUAUAAGAAAACAAAUUUUGCAUUUACAUCGACGAUCGUGAAAUGAAGAUCAGAGGAACAAAAAUACAAUUGCUAGUUCAUUCAGUCACGUUUCUGUGCACGAUGUGACUGAGGAGACGUUCACGAAGCAGCCGGUUGCAAGAUGCAUCGACUUUGUUUCGAUUUGCUUUAACUGGGCUUACGUGAAGAAUUAUUGCUCUUGUUUUUUAUACUAUAAAAGUGACGAUUAACAAAAUCAAGCGAUUGUUGAAGCGUUAACUAAUGAAAUGUUCUGAAGCUGAAUCUUAGUUGAGGAGAUUGAGAAAUAAGAUAUGGAAAUAAAAAGAGAUUGUUACAUAUUUGUUGAAAAGUUCAGCAGCUUAUACCUGUAGAUUGUAACUAGUAAUAAUUGAAGACUUUGAUCACUCUGGUAUGUACUUUUCUAGCCUUGCAGAAUCUAAAGUAUGUCUCGUGUAUCUCUACUGGUGUAUUUUAUUGUUAAAUAAUUAAUUAUGAAUAAUUGUUGCAUCGAUUGCCUGAACUGAUGCUCUACGAUUGUGUUAAUUUUAAAGUUUCACAUAAAGAAUUUGCAAUAUUUGUAUUUAUUUUUUAUAUCAUGGCUGAUCUAUUAAUCUAUUUUUAAUCAAGAAACGUUCAAAGUCUAAAAAUUAAUAUCUCAUUUGCUAGACUAAAUUAUUCAUAUGUAUGUAAUACUGUAUCUAACAUUAUUUUUCUGAAAUAAAAU
Frieseomelitta varia is the source of this 821-nucleotide long non-coding RNA. RefSeq lists it as uncharacterized. NCBI's taxonomy places the organism in Eukaryota, Metazoa, Arthropoda, Insecta, Hymenoptera, Apidae. The transcript is spliced from 4 exons. The record is from RefSeq and is a predicted model, not a curated record.